CAUUAGCAGCAGAAUGCUUUCCUUUUGUGUCUUGAAUAUUAUAUAUACGUGCAUGCACAAUCCACAUACUGUUCAAUCAAGGUAUUAGAUCUACAUUCAUCAAGACACUGUUAUUUCAAUACACGUCGCACACAAUAUAGAAAAGAAACUGUAUAGGCCAUUUUUAAACAAAAAGGCACUUGCUUAGAACAAGACAAUAUAAAACAUUUUGGAUGUAGCUUCAACCAACAUGAACAACAGUUAAGAGCCAUUGGUGUACCAACCUAAAUGUUCAGAAAGAUACUGGGAAAAUAUUACCUCAGAAUUGUUACUGAAAUACAUUACAGAGUUGCAACACAGUUGAGUAUAGGAAAUACAUUGCUUCUUAAUAUGCUAAAACCUGUAUCUAAAAUACUAUAGAUGAAUCAUAGUCAUAAAAGUUGAAUGGCCGUUAUCCAUCGAUGACAGCCAUAAAUCUCUAAAUGGAAACCCCCUUAAAAAAAGCACUAUGCUGAUAUGCUGGGGACAAAUAACAAGAAAUAAUUAUUGUGUUCAUGUUCUGUCUUUGGUAUUUCAAAAGUAUUAAGCAAAAUGCUAUUGGAAAGCAACUGUUGGACUAGAUAAGAGCUUCAGCCUGAACCAUCAAGUCAAUUCUUAUAAAUAAAAAUGGGAUGACACAGAGCUCAAGGCAGUGUAUACAGCACACUGUCCUGCAAAGUUUCCCCACAAUCACUCUUGAGUCAAACUGGACCAGCUUAAGGUUAUCCACUUCUUAUAAUGAUUGGAAGAAGGUAGCAGUUUCAACCAAAUCUACUAGACAAUUGGGGAACAGAGUAAAGGAAGUUGCAAGAGGAGGAAGAAUCAGAAAAAAUCAUUACCUACCUAUACCAGUGGACCUUCCACUGGAUCAUAAUCCCUUCAAUCCAUGAAAACCUAAUGUAAUCCAAACUAAUAUACUGUAGUUAAUGUUAAAAGUGAACUAUGUGGACUGUUACUUGCAAAUAUUAAAUAUAGCCAAUAUGUGUCUUCCAAAUGUGCAGUUACUGAAUUGCAAGGUGUUGAUUAAUUUAUAAAUAAAUAAAUAGAGGUUGAAUUUCAGGGGAUGGAUGGAUGGAUAGAGGUUGUGGUUUUAAUCAAAUUUCCAAGGUCUCAAUGUCAAAUAUCUCUGAAACCUGUCUUCCUUCUCCAUUUAUAAUUUCUUUGAAUUCAAUAUAUUCCAGAUUUUGAAAAUUAUAUAAUUCAGAACACACCUUUUUCUCUUACCUACUAGAACAACUACAGCUCCUAUUACCAGUCCCAAAACCAAUAUCACUGGUGCAAUAAGUAACUUCCCACCUGAAAAAUAGAAAUAAAUAAAUAAAAAGAUUAUGAGAUAUUUCAGACCAUGCUAUUUUAAUUUCUGUUGGGGACAAGUUUAGCUUUGAAUAUUAAAUAUUCAAGGAACAUGCAUACCGUUCACUUACAUGAGAAAAUGAUAAAACAUUUUUGCCUUUUAUGAAUGUAAUUAUCCCCCAUAAUGGAGAAAGCAUUUAUUCAUUUAUUUAAUUUAUACAAUGUAUGGGCCACCCAACUCCUGAAGACUGAAGGUCACUGCUUUUUAAAUCUAACUGCAGUUGCAUACAAGGAAGUGGGAUUUCAUCAGAACUAGGUUAUAGGAGAAAAAAUUUAACUUCCCUCAUCUUCUCAGUACAAAUUGUACCCUUUGUCUAGGAUUAAAUUUCAAAACUACUUAUAAGACUGAAAAUCACACUAUUAAUU
Molecule: long non-coding RNA, 1737 nt
Organism: Candoia aspera
Lineage: Eukaryota; Metazoa; Chordata; Lepidosauria; Squamata; Candoiidae
Exons: 3
Source: RefSeq, a predicted model, not a curated record